GGGUUGUGAGGUUAAGCGACUAAGCGUACACGGUGGAUGCCCUGGCAGUCAGAGGCGAUGAAGGACGUGCUAAUCUGCGAUAAGCGUCGGUAAGGUGAUAUGAACCGUUAUAACCGGCGAUUUCCGAAUGGGGAAACCCAGUGUGAUUCGUCACACUAUCAUUAACUGAAUCCAUAGGUUAAUGAGGCGAACCGGGGGAACUGAAACAUCUAAGUACCCCGAGGAAAAGAAAUCAACCGAGAUUCCCCCAGUAGCGGCGAGCGAACGGGGAGCAGCCCAGAGCCUGAAUCAGUGUGUGUGUUAGUGGAAGCGUCUGGAAAGGCGCGCGAUACAGGGUGACAGCCCCGUACACAAAAAUGCACAUGCUGUGAGCUCGAUGAGUAGGGCGGGACACGUGGUAUCCUGUCUGAAUAUGGGGGGACCAUCCUCCAAGGCUAAAUACUCCUGACUGACCGAUAGUGAACCAGUACCGUGAGGGAAAGGCGAAAAGAACCCCGGCGAGGGGAGUGAAAAAGAACCUGAAACCGUGUACGUACAAGCAGUGGGAGCACGCUUAGGCGUGUGACUGCGUACCUUUUGUAUAAUGGGUCAGCGACUUAUAUUCUGUAGCAAGGUUAACCGAAUAGGGGAGCCGAAGGGAAACCGAGUCUUAACUGGGCGUUAAGUUGCAGGGUAUAGACCCGAAACCCGGUGAUCUAGCCAUGGGCAGGUUGAAGGUUGGGUAACACUAACUGGAGGACCGAACCGACUAAUGUUGAAAAAUUAGCGGAUGACUUGUGGCUGGGGGUGAAAGGCCAAUCAAACCGGGAGAUAGCUGGUUCUCCCCGAAAGCUAUUUAGGUAGCGCCUCGUGAAUUCAUCUCCGGGGGUAGAGCACUGUUUCGGCAAGGGGGUCAUCCCGACUUACCAACCCGAUGCAAACUGCGAAUACCGGAGAAUGUUAUCACGGGAGACACACGGCGGGUGCUAACGUCCGUCGUGAAGAGGGAAACAACCCAGACCGCCAGCUAAGGUCCCAAAGUCAUGGUUAAGUGGGAAACGAUGUGGGAAGGCCCAGACAGCCAGGAUGUUGGCUUAGAAGCAGCCAUCAUUUAAAGAAAGCGUAAUAGCUCACUGGUCGAGUCGGCCUGCGCGGAAGAUGUAACGGGGCUAAACCAUGCACCGAAGCUGCGGCAGCGACGCUUAUGCGUUGUUGGGUAGGGGAGCGUUCUGUAAGCCUGCGAAGGUGUGCUGUGAGGCAUGCUGGAGGUAUCAGAAGUGCGAAUGCUGACAUAAGUAACGAUAAAGCGGGUGAAAAGCCCGCUCGCCGGAAGACCAAGGGUUCCUGUCCAACGUUAAUCGGGGCAGGGUGAGUCGACCCCUAAGGCGAGGCCGAAAGGCGUAGUCGAUGGGAAACAGGUUAAUAUUCCUGUACUUGGUGUUACUGCGAAGGGGGGACGGAGAAGGCUAUGUUGGCCGGGCGACGGUUGUCCCGGUUUAAGCGUGUAGGCUGGUUUUCCAGGCAAAUCCGGAAAAUCAAGGCUGAGGCGUGAUGACGAGGCACUACGGUGCUGAAGCAACAAAUGCCCUGCUUCCAGGAAAAGCCUCUAAGCAUCAGGUAACAUCAAAUCGUACCCCAAACCGACACAGGUGGUCAGGUAGAGAAUACCAAGGCGCUUGAGAGAACUCGGGUGAAGGAACUAGGCAAAAUGGUGCCGUAACUUCGGGAGAAGGCACGCUGAUAUGUAGGUGAAGCGACUUGCUCGUGGAGCUGAAAUCAGUCGAAGAUACCAGCUGGCUGCAACUGUUUAUUAAAAACACAGCACUGUGCAAACACGAAAGUGGACGUAUACGGUGUGACGCCUGCCCGGUGCCGGAAGGUUAAUUGAUGGGGUCAGCGCAAGCGAAGCUCUUGAUCGAAGCCCCGGUAAACGGCGGCCGUAACUAUAACGGUCCUAAGGUAGCGAAAUUCCUUGUCGGGUAAGUUCCGACCUGCACGAAUGGCGUAAUGAUGGCCAGGCUGUCUCCACCCGAGACUCAGUGAAAUUGAACUCGCUGUGAAGAUGCAGUGUACCCGCGGCAAGACGGAAAGACCCCGUGAACCUUUACUAUAGCUUGACACUGAACAUUGAGCCUUGAUGUGUAGGAUAGGUGGGAGGCUUUGAAGUGUGGACGCCAGUCUGCAUGGAGCCGACCUUGAAAUACCACCCUUUAAUGUUUGAUGUUCUAACGUGGACCCGUAAUCCGGGUUGCGGACAGUGUCUGGUGGGUAGUUUGACUGGGGCGGUCUCCUCCUAAAGAGUAACGGAGGAGCACGAAGGUUGGCUAAUCCUGGUCGGACAUCAGGAGGUUAGUGCAAUGGCAUAAGCCAGCUUGACUGCGAGCGUGACGGCGCGAGCAGGUGCGAAAGCAGGUCAUAGUGAUCCGGUGGUUCUGAAUGGAAGGGCCAUCGCUCAACGGAUAAAAGGUACUCCGGGGAUAACAGGCUGAUACCGCCCAAGAGUUCAUAUCGACGGCGGUGUUUGGCACCUCGAUGUCGGCUCAUCACAUCCUGGGGCUGAAGUAGGUCCCAAGGGUAUGGCUGUUCGCCAUUUAAAGUGGUACGCGAGCUGGGUUUAGAACGUCGUGAGACAGUUCGGUCCCUAUCUGCCGUGGGCGCUGGAGAACUGAGGGGGGCUGCUCCUAGUACGAGAGGACCGGAGUGGACGCAUCACUGGUGUUCGGGUUGUCAUGCCAAUGGCACUGCCCGGUAGCUAAAUGCGGAAGAGAUAAGUGCUGAAAGCAUCUAAGCACGAAACUUGCCCCGAGAUGAGUUCUCCCUGACUCCUUGAGAGUCCUGAAGGAACGUUGAAGACGACGACGUUGAUAGGCCGGGUGUGUAAGCGCAGCGAUGCGUUGAGCUAACCGGUACUAAUGAACCGUGAGGCUUAACCUUACAACGCCGAAGGUGUUU
Molecule: ribosomal RNA, 2931 nt
Filed under: Escherichia coli
Lineage: Bacteria; Pseudomonadati; Pseudomonadota; Gammaproteobacteria; Enterobacterales; Enterobacteriaceae
Description: 23S ribosomal RNA
Rfam family: Bacterial large subunit ribosomal RNA
Source: RNAcentral